This 441-nucleotide ribosomal RNA is filed under the name uncultured bacterium. RNAcentral's name for it is "partial 16S ribosomal RNA". It matches the Rfam family "Bacterial small subunit ribosomal RNA", at positions 338 to 795 of the family's 1533-position model. The record is from RNAcentral.
CCUACGGGGUGCAGCAGUCGGGAAUAUUGCGCAAUGGAGGAAACUCUGACGCAGUGACGCCGCGUGCAGGAAGAAGGUUUUCGGAUUGUAAACUGCUUUAGACAGGGAAGAAAAAAGACAGUACCUGUAGAAUAAGCUCCGGCUAACUACGUGCCAGCAGCCGCGGUAAUACGGAGGGAGCAAGCGUUAUCCGGAUGUAUUGGGUGUAAAGGGUGCGUAGACGGAGAAGCAAGUUAGUUGUGAAAUCCCUCGGCUUAACUGAGGAACUGCAACUAAAACUACUUCCCUUGAGUACUGGAGAGGAAAGUGGAAUUCCUAGUGUAGCGGUGAAAUGCGUAGAUAUCACGAAGAACACCGAUGGCGAAGGCAGCCUGCUGGACUGUAACUGACGCUGAUGCUCGAAAGUGUGGGUAUCAAACAGGAUUAGAUACCCCUGUAGUC